Molecule: ribosomal RNA, 244 nt
Filed under: uncultured bacterium
Lineage: Bacteria
Description: partial 16S ribosomal RNA
Rfam family: Bacterial small subunit ribosomal RNA
Source: RNAcentral
CCGAGUGGCGAACGGGUGAGGAACGCGUGGACAACCUACCCCGGCGUGGGGGAUACCCGCCAGAAACGGCGGCUAAUACCGCGUACGGUUCUCCGGCGAGGGGCUGGGGAAAGAAAGCAGUAAUGCGCGCUGGGAGGGGUCUGCGGCCGAUUAGCUUGUUGGCGGGGUAACGGCCCACCAAGGCGAUGAUCGGUAGCUGGUCUGAGAGGAUGGUCAGCCACACUGGGACUGAGACACGGGCCCG